AUUGAACGCUGGCGGCAGGCCUAACACAUGCAAGUCGAGCGGAUGAAGGGAGCUUGCUCCUGGAUUCAGCGGCGGACGGGUGAAUAAUGCCUAGGAAUCUGCCUGGUAGUGGGGGAUAACGUCCGGAAACGGGCGCUAAUACCGCAUACGUCCUGAGGGAGAAAGUGGGGGAUCUUCGGACCUCACGCUAUCAGAUGAGCCUAGGUCGGGUUAGCUAGUUGGUGGGGUAAAGGCCUACCAAGGCGACGAUCCGUAACUGGUCUGAGAGGAUGAUCAGUCACACUGGAACUGAGACACGGUCCAGACUCCUACGGGAGGCAGCAGUGGGGAAUAUUGGACAAUGGGCGAAAGCCUGAUCCAGCCAUGCCGCGUGUGUGAAGAAGGUCUUCGGAUUGUAAAGCACUUUAAGUUGGGAGGAAGGGCAGUAAGUUAAUACCUUGCUGUUUUGACGUUACCAACAGAAUAAGCACCGGCUAACUUCGUG
Molecule: ribosomal RNA, 484 nt
Filed under: uncultured bacterium
Lineage: Bacteria
Description: partial 16S ribosomal RNA
Rfam family: Bacterial small subunit ribosomal RNA
Source: RNAcentral